GUCUGUUACUGCUCAUCAACCACCUUUGCCAUUUAAAUUCCUCGCUCCGAGCUGUCCAAGAAUUGUGGAUGUGGAGACCUUGGUCUGAGGAGCAUGCAAAGCAGGGUGAAGGAAGCAGCACUAAGCAUAAAUGACAGGGCUGUACUUAUCCAUUGACACUCUGACAAUCGGACGAGGCUACGGCAUCAGCUGGGGAAUUACUACUGGCUUUCCCUCGUACUUAUGAUGUCUAUUGCUACUGUUAUCCUGAGUUCAGUUGUCAGCCUAAUUAUUUCAAAAAAUGCCUUUUGCACUUGGACAGUGACAGUAACUGGAAGUGUAAUAAUUGGAAUAAUUUCAAAUUUCUACGAAACAGUGACUAUAAUGCAAGUUGGAGGAAUGACUGCAUUUGCAACCCUGUUACUGUUUUUAUUUGCUCUGAAGACAAAUAAACCCCUGACAAACAUGGCCAUAUCAACCACUACAAGCACCCUGGGCACUGCUGGGGCAAUCGUUUGUGUCCUUAGAAAUUCAUACGUGUUCCAGGCUAUAUACGCUCUAUUUGGAAUGCUGCUCUUUGCUACUGAUCUGACGAGGACAGUAGCUGAGCUCGAAAGUCAACGGACAACCAACAAAAAAGUCAAAAAGUCAAAGCUUGAAAGUCAACCAACAAAAAUGCAACGCUCCAUGGACUAUGCUGAGGCAGCACAAAGACUUGUCAUAUCUAUUGCUAUGAUCUUCUUCUUCACUUUGCUAUUAGUUGGUUGAACGCACAACAAAGCCGAGUAUUUUGGCAAACUUCAGUUUCAGCGCAAGUCCUGUGUUACCCAAAGGAAGGUGCGUGACAGCUCAUUCAGGUGUUCUGGCGAGGUGAUUACGGGAUGGAUUUCCAUAUAAUAAACUUCCUAUAGAUGAAAAAGUAUCUUAAUGU
RNAcentral lists this long non-coding RNA (910 nucleotides) under Anser brachyrhynchus (Pink-footed goose). RNAcentral's name for it is "lncRNA (ENSABRG00000008977.1)". The record is from RNAcentral. Lineage: Eukaryota; Metazoa; Chordata; Aves; Anseriformes; Anatidae.